CAGCCACAGACUGACAAGCUAUUCUGUACAGGUGUAAAUUCAGCCUCUCCUAGAGAAGCUGUUCUUGAGGCUCACGAGCCUUGGAGACAGGGUGAACAUGGCCUGGGUUUCUAACCUGUCUGAGGAGUGGAAGGGAAAGACUAGGUUUCAGUUCCUCGUUGAAGGGUUAUUGUGGUGGACAAUCCAUAAAACCUAACUUUUUCUAUUCUAGAAUAAUAUGGCUACUACUGCUUUUUCUGAAGGGGCCAGUACGAGCAGUGAGAAUGUAUCCUGGAUCAGGCGGAAGUGAUGACUGCACGAAUCCUGAUGAACCCAGGAGAAAAUCUGCAGAAAAAAAGUGAAAAGCCCAUGCAGACACUGAAAUCUUGUCCACGUCAAGUUGUUGAAGUGAAAUCCAUAGCUGACUGGGUUGGGUGUCUGCAGGAUCCUUCCUAAUGAGCUGUGGAAGUAAGUUUAGAGGGAAAUGUACUACGGGAUUGAGGGAAGAAGUGAUCCACGGGAAGGUCUUUCACAAGAAGGAGUCUAAGGUAAGAAAGACAUGGAAGACUACUGUUCUGAUGUGCAUAAGCUAACCCAUAAAAGGGAGUGCCAGGAGGAAAGAAGGAAGUGGAAUCAAGCAGUGAUGGUACCACAGGAAGACAGGUCCUUUCAGAUAACUAGUUUUUACAUAGUUUUUGGGAAGAGUGAAUGAAAAGUAAAUAGUGGUACUUAAUUUUGAAAGUACUAAAGAAUCUGAGAAAAUAAAAUAGAGACAGGGUGCUCCGUCCAAACAUCACUUUUCUUUUCCUAGUCAGAGUUAUGCUUCUCCCUAGACUUACUGAUUCCCUUAGAAGCAGUUUCCAUCAGUGUUGGAAACACACACUCUAAAUGCACGCAGUUCAAAAACUGUGCAACUUUUAUCUCCUUACUACAAUAAUAUGAAGGCAAAUUUUGAAGAGGUUGCAAGGAUGGCCACUGGUAGUGAUUAAAUACAAUUGUCCACAUAUACUUUCAGGCUCAGGAAGUAUUUAAAUUACUGAUUACCAAAGGUUAUGAGGGAAAAGCAUCACUCUACACGUGCUUUGUUCUUCUGUAAGCAGUCUGUUACUGGUUAUGUUCCGAGAUAAGGUACUAGGCUGGAUGGAUCUUUGGUGUGGCUGUGUCAGCCUUUGUUGAGAUAAGGUCAUGAACUUGGCCUUCUUGCUGUUAUUUCUUUUGUAUGUGGGUUGGAAUCAAUACAUCUUGUAAAACAUUAGCAUUAAUAUUGCUUGUAGGAAAAGCAGCCCUUAAAAAAACUCCUCAGGACUUGAGGAUGUUUUUUACAGGCCAAUACUGAGUUUUCAAUAGUCACAAAUAUAUACCUGAAAGGUAAAACAUUUAUAUUUUUUUCUGAAAGAACUUUAUGGUAAACUUGAGAAAAAAAACCUGCUUCAGACAUCUAAACUUGAAGAUCUUCCCUACUCUACUGAUAGAUUUUUCUCUUAAUCCUCUCGUGCUGAAAGUAUUAACUGCCUUCACUAGCACCUGGACAAAAGGGGAAAAUAAAAGUUAAUAUCUGUACAUAUCUGAUGGCUAUCAGAAAUCUUCAUCCCUGGAAAGUACCAUUGACAUGCUUCAGAAAAGACCAGAGAGACAAAAUAUUUGCAUUAUUAUUUCAUUAGAAAUUGAAAAGUAUGUUGGAGAAGUCACACACUCUGUAGUUCAGCUCAUGUCACAGCGCUGUUUUUAAAUUGUACAAUGUUGACUUGCUGUUACGAAAAUUCAGUGUUACAGGAAAUCAGAAACAAUAUGGUAUAGUUUACACUAACUCUGCAUUAAAAUGUUCCAUCUGUUCUUGCUUUUGGUUCUUAGAGAAUGGCUUUUUCAUCUCUGUAAUGCUUUUCACUUCCUAUUAGUAAGGCUUUUAAAGGUAGGCACUGAGUUAGUAUAAAACCCACAGCUUUUGAGUUUAAACGCCUAUUAAAACUAAAGCUGUCUGGAACUACAAUAAAAAUUUAUUUUGGCUACAAAAGACAACUUUGAAACCUAACCCAUCUGUAUUUUUCCUCCUCCAAACAGAGCAACAUCCUGUAUCAUAGAAUAUUUAACUUAAACAGAGACUGCAUACCUUUAUGAAAACAAUUGUUUCAACUUAAUUUAUGGGGGGUAAUCAGCUCGUAUUAAGGUUUUCAGUACUCCAGGAUGCUAAUAUAAAUUGGUUACAGGAGAUGUAAUAACUAGAGUAAUUCCUCAGAAUCAUCUGAAAUGUGCUGUUGCUGUUGACUUAGUAUAUAACCUGCCUAUGUUGUAAUUUCAAAUUGCCAUAAAAAUUCAUGUGCAGUGGCAUACAGUAAUUGCGAGUUAACUGUCUGUGCAAAUUAGGCGUACAGCCAAAGUUUCAUUUUACUGAUAAUCUAUGCUCAUGUGCACUGACUUCCAAACAAUUACAGGAUAAAUCCACCAAAAUUAUUUAUUUGUAGGAGUUGAUCAAGUCUUUGCAAGCCUGGGCACACCAGGGAGAUACGCACAUGUAUCUAGAAGGGCUGUUCGACCAGUCAGUUUAUUGACUCAAGAACAAACCUGACUCACUGUGAAGUGCAGCAUCCCUGGGAUGCAUACAGCCUGCAACUGCCAUGAGUGGGAGUCAAACAUAUCAAAGAGAGACUGGAUCCCUGGGGUUGAGCUCCCCCCAUAGAACAGUUUGACAGAUUUUGCAUUGAAAAGGGCCUGUUUUUAGCACCCUCUAAAUAUAACCAGCCCUGAAACUCCCACAGAGAUUCCUUUCUGUCUGCCUUCAGAGGAUGAGAUAAGGCUCCCUCUCUUGUGACUUCAGUCUGGAGUACCUCUAUCAUCCCCCCCAACCCUGAUAACAGCUGGCUUUGCACAUAUUUGAGAGCAAAGCAUGAUCUGAGUUGAGGGAUUCAUUUCUCUUUCUGUAGAUUACAACCUUCUUCUUCAUCCCAACCUCCUUUGUAACAUCUGCAUCGUAGAAUCAGUGCAAGACAUUUGGGCAUCCAGGAGGCAGUUGGCUCCCUUCAUCUUCUGGCCAUUUUUUUUCUCACCAUUUUGGGAACAGACACCUUGGACAAUUUCCUUUUCACCCCGCAAUCCUUCCUUUCUAGACCUUCUCUUCCUCAGUAUACUUGAAUGCAGCAUCAAAGCUGAAGUGUGUUUGCCCUCUUCCUCUCCCCGUUUCCCCACGUAUGCCAAGAUACACAAAUUGUGGAUGCUAAAGCAGAAUUUAUGUAUGUUGUGAUAUACACUGGAUGUUCUGCUUACUUGCAUGAGGUUCACAUCCUCAUAAGCCCACAGGAAAUCCCAGCAAUAUUUUUCUAGCCGAAUCUCCUGUGCUGAGGUGCUGGGCACAGCAGGGGCUGGAGGAAAAGAGCCAUUUCUGCUUUGAAUAUACUGCAGUCUAGAAGUUUAGCUGAGAAGGACCAACCAGUAUUAUUAAAAUAUCUCUCUUUUACUCAGUGACUGUGAGAAAUGCAAUGCAAGGACUUAAUUCACAUUUUAUAGUAGCAUACCUGGGAAU
Molecule: long non-coding RNA, 3493 nt
Organism: Numida meleagris (helmeted guineafowl)
Lineage: Eukaryota; Metazoa; Chordata; Aves; Galliformes; Numididae
Exons: 3
Source: RefSeq, a predicted model, not a curated record